This is a long non-coding RNA of Cyprinus carpio carpio, 1096 nucleotides long. Lineage: Eukaryota; Metazoa; Chordata; Actinopteri; Cypriniformes; Cyprinidae. The record is from Ensembl.
CAGGGCUACUUGAAAAUUACAGACAGGUGUGUUGGAGCAGGGUUGGAACUGAAUUCUGCAGGACGGUAGUGCUCCAGGAGCAGGGUUGGAGAUCCCUGUGCUAGGGGUAUUUGAUUGAUUUAGUCAUUGAAAUCUAACUCCAGCUGAGCAACCAAAUCUGGCAACCCUGGAUUAGGCUAAUUGUGAACCCGGGUAAAGUAUGUGAUAUUUACAGGUUUUACUUCAGUACCAUGUGGGUUAGUGACCUGGAGAUGAGCCUUCAAUUAAUGUAUGUGUCAUCCCACUGAAGUUCACUGGAAGGCCUCUUUUCUUGCCCAUCAUCCCUGCUGACAAGGUGGCCCCCUCUUUUUGCUUCAUUCGUCUUCCUUAGCUGUCUAUUUCCUCCAUCUCAUGUCAUGUCUGAUUAGUUAGCGCUAGUACUGCCGCAUUUCAGCGUAGCCUCUGGGCUCCUCCUUAAUCCAGCUAUAUUAACAGUCCCUGUAGCCCUUUUAGCAAAGAAACAAUACAGCUGCCAUCUGUUUCCUGCUAUACUUCCUACUGUUUUACGUGGUCCACCACCUCCUGCCUAACCAGUUAAACAGCGGGGAAAACAGCAAGAGUGAAGGCAAAUACAACACAAAUACAAAUAUGUUUACUUUAAAUGAGUGCUAGCACCAAUGGCAUGCACGGGGAAGCCAGUUGGGUUGGAAAUUAGCUAAAUAUCUUCUAUGCCUUUUGGCUUUAAUAAGAUUUCCCCAAGAAACAGAUAAGAAUAAAUUCAUGAAUGGGACGUCCACCUUGAUUUCUGUUCUUUCCAACCACAAAUCACUUGAACAUGUGAUAUAUAUAUAUGACAAAUAAAAUGAAAAUAAAUAAAUUGUCAGCAUAACUGAAAUAUGCAUUAUGAAAAACACAUUGCCUUUCCCACAGCCACUGGAUUCAGUAGAGUUGGUGUAUGCUGAUAGGAUUAUGAUCAUUUCAGUGUGAGGAUUUGUCACAAAACAAUGCACACCUCACAGACUGUACUGCACUUAAUAUUUAUUCAGCACCAACAGCGGUGUGCUAUUACGAUAUGUAACUAUUUAUAAUGUGUCGUACCUGGCUCUUCCACUUCCUC